Apodemus sylvaticus (European woodmouse) is the source of this 162-nucleotide small nuclear RNA. RefSeq annotates it as U1 spliceosomal RNA. The record is from RefSeq and is a predicted model, not a curated record. The transcript has a single exon. Lineage: Eukaryota; Metazoa; Chordata; Mammalia; Rodentia; Muridae.
ACUCUUACCUGACACGAGAGGCACCAUGAUCACAAAGGCAGUUUCCCAGGACAGGGGUGUGUCAUUGCACUCUGGGCGCGUCAGCCCCUGUGAUUUCCCCAGAUGUGCAGAAUGCGCUGUAUAAUUUGUAACAGUGGGAGACUAGGUUUGCAUUUUCCCUUU